GACGAACGCUGGCGGCGUGCUUAACACAUGCAAGUCGAACGGUGAAGCGCCUUCCUUUUUGGUGGGUGUGGAUGAGUGGCGAACGGGUGAGUAACACGUGAGUAACCUGCCCCCUUCUUCUGGAUAACCGCAUGAAAGUGUGGCUAAUACGGGAUAUUCUGGGUCUGUCGCAUGAUGGGUCUGGGAAAGAUAUUGUUUCGGUGGGGGAUGGGCUCGCGGCUUUUCAGCUUGUUGGUGGGGUGAUGGCCUACCAAGGCGGUGACGGGUAGCCGGCCUGAGAGGGUGGACGGUCACACUGGGACUGAGACACGGCCCAGACUCCUACGGGAGGCAGCAGUGGGGAAUAUUGCACAAUGGGCGCAAGCCUGAUGCAGCGACGCCGCGUGAGGGAUGGAGGCCUUCGGGUUGUGAACCUCUUUCGCCAGUGAAGCAGGCCUGCCUCGUUUGUGGGUGGGUUGACGGUGGCUGGAUAAGAAGCGCCGGCUAACUACGUG
This 494-nucleotide ribosomal RNA is filed under the name uncultured bacterium. RNAcentral's name for it is "partial 16S ribosomal RNA". It matches the Rfam family "Bacterial small subunit ribosomal RNA", at positions 28 to 507 of the family's 1533-position model. The record is from RNAcentral.